This 254-nucleotide ribosomal RNA is filed under the name uncultured bacterium. RNAcentral describes it as "partial 16S ribosomal RNA". It matches the Rfam family "Bacterial small subunit ribosomal RNA", at positions 526 to 779 of the family's 1533-position model. The record is from RNAcentral.
CGGAGGAUCCAAGCGUUAUCCGGAAUCAUUGGGUUUAAAGGGUCCGUAGGCGGUUUAAUAAGUCAGUGGUGAAAUCUGGUCGCUCAACGAUCAAACGGCCAUUGAUACUGUUAGACUUGAAUUACUAGGAAGUAACUAGAAUAUGUAGUGUAGCGGUGAAAUGCUUAGAUAUUACAUGGAAUACCAAUUGCGAAGGCAGGUUACUACUAGUGGAUUGACGCUGAUGGACGAAAGCGUGGGGAGCGAACAGGAUU